AAGUCACAGACUAACAGCAUCUCAAAGCAGAACAAUUUUUCUUAGUACAGAUCAAAAUGGAGUUUCUUUAUGUCUUCCUUUUUCUACAUAGACACAGUAGCGAUCUGAUCUCUCUUUUCCCCACAGUUACUAGCUAAAAUUAACUCCAUCACUAUUUCUGACAAUACUCUCAGUUUAAAGGUUAUAGUGAUGUUUCCUCUUUAGACACUGUACACCAUUGAUUUAACCUAAUAGGUAAAUUGGUCAUCUCACAGCUUCUUGAACUGGUUUGCCUUUAUUUCAAGGGGCUUUAAGAAAAGUGAGUCCUUUAUGAUGGAGGGCAGUGUGAUUUGACUUUGACCUUGGUAACACCUUGUGUUCUGCAGUAAAGCCCAAUCUGCAGGUGUUGCGAGCCCGAUUCUCUGAGAUCACACCCCAUGCCGUCAGGACAGCUUGUGAAAACCUGACCGAGCCUGAUCAGAGGGUGAGCGAUGCUGUGGAUGUGAGGCAGGAGCUGGACCUGAGGAUUGGAGCUGCCUUUACUAGGUUCCAGACCCUGCGGCUUCAGAGGAUUUUUCCUGAGGUGCUGGCAGAGCAGCUCAUCAGUUACGGCAGCUGCCAGUUCCCCACACUGGGCUUUGUGGUGGAGCGGUUCAAAGCCAUUCAGGCUUUUGUACCAGAAAUCUUCCACAGAAUUAAAGUAACUCAUAACCACAAAGAUGGUAUCGUAGAAUUCAACUGGAAAAGGCAUCGACUCUUUAACCACACUGCUUGCCUAGUUCUCUAUCAGUUGUGUAUGGAGGAUCCCAUGGCAACUGUGGUAGAGGUCAGAUCUAAGCCCAAGAGCAAGUGGCGGCCUCAAGCUUUGGACACUGUGGAGCUUGAGAAGCUGGCUUCUCGAAAGUUGAGAAUAAAUGCUAAAGAAACCAUGAGGAUUGCUGAGAAGCUCUACACUCAAGGGUACAUCAGCUAUCCCCGAACAGAAACAAACAUUUUUCCCAGAGACUUAAACCUGACGGUGUUGGUGGAACAGCAGACCCCCGAUCCACGCUGGGGGGCCUUUGCCCAGAGCAUUCUAGAGCGGGGUGGUCCCACCCCACGCAAUGGGAACAAGUCUGACCAAGCUCACCCUCCCAUUCACCCCACCAAAUACACCAACAGCUUACAGGGAGAUGAACAGCGACUGUACGAGUUUAUUGUUCGCCAUUUCCUGGCUUGUUGCUCCCAGGAUGCUCAGGGGCAGGAGACCACAGUGGAGAUCGACAUCGCUCAGGAACGCUUUGUGGCCCACGGCCUCAUGAUUCUGGCCCGAAACUAUCUGGAUGUGUAUCCAUAUGAUCACUGGAGUGACAAGAUCCUCCCUGUCUAUGAGCAAGGAUCCCGCUUUCAGCCCAGCACCGUGGAGAUGGUGGACGGGGAGACCAGCCCACCCAAGCUGCUCACCGAGGCCGACCUCAUUGCCCUCAUGGAGAAGCAUGGCAUUG
RNAcentral lists this small RNA (1463 nucleotides) under Pongo abelii (Sumatran orangutan). Its description in RNAcentral is "retained intron". The record is from RNAcentral. Lineage: Eukaryota; Metazoa; Chordata; Mammalia; Primates; Hominidae.